AGCAGCCGCGGUAAUUCCAGCUCCAAUAGCGUAUAUUAAAGUUGUUGCAGUUAAAAAGCUCGUAGUUGAAUUUCGGGGUUAGUAGGUUGGUCAUGCCACUGGUAUGUACUGGUCUCACUGAUUCCUCCUUCCUGAUGAGCCGUAAUGCCAUUAAUUUGGUGUUGCGAGGAAUCUGGACUGUUACUUUGAAAAAUUAGAGUGUUUAAAGCAAGCUAACGCUUGAAUACAUUAGCAUGGAAUAAUGAAAUAGGACGUUCGAUCCUAUUUUGUUGGUUUCUAGGAUUGACGUAAUGAUUAAUAGGGAUAGUUGGGGGCAUUAGUAUUCAAUUGUCAGAGGUGAAAUUCUUGGAUUUAUUGAAGACUAACUACUGCGAAAGCAUUUGCCAAGGAUGUUUUCAUUAAUCAAGAACGAAAGUUAGGGGAUCGAAGACGAUCAGAUACCGUCGUAGUCUUAACCAUAAACUAUGCCGACUAGGGAUCGGAUGAUGUUAUUUUUAAUGA
This 501-nucleotide ribosomal RNA is filed under the name uncultured Glomus. RNAcentral describes it as "SSU rRNA". It matches the Rfam family "Eukaryotic small subunit ribosomal RNA", at positions 569 to 1074 of the family's 1831-position model. The record is from RNAcentral. Lineage: Eukaryota; Fungi; Glomeromycota; Glomeromycetes; Glomerales; Glomeraceae.